This 772-nucleotide ribosomal RNA is filed under the name uncultured bacterium. RNAcentral describes it as "bacterial SSU rRNA". It matches the Rfam family "Bacterial small subunit ribosomal RNA", at positions 28 to 791 of the family's 1533-position model. The record is from RNAcentral.
AGUGAACGCUGGCGGCAGGCCUAACACAUGCAAGUCGAGCGGCAGCGCGGGGGCAACCCUGGCGGCGAGCGGCGGACGGGUGAGGAAUGCAUCGGAAUCUACCCAGUCGUGGGGGAUAACGUAGGGAAACUUACGCUAAUACCGCAUACGACCUGAGGGUGAAAGCAGGGGACCGCAAGGCCUUGCGCGAUUGGAUGAGCCGAUGUCCGAUUAGCUAGUUGGUGAGGUAAAGGCUCACCAAGGCGACGAUCGGUAGCUGGUCUGAGAGGAUGAUCAGCCACACUGGAACUGAGACACGGUCCAGACUCCUACGGGAGGCAGCAGUGGGGAAUAUUGGACAAUGGGCGCAAGCCUGAUCCAGCCAUGCCGCGUGUGUGAAGAAGGCCUUCGGGUUGUAAAGCACUUUUGUUGGGGAAGAAAUCUUCCGGCCUAAUACGCCGGGAGGCUGACGGUACCCAAAAGGAAUAAGCACCGGCUAACUUCGUGCCAGCAGCCGCGGUAAUACGAAGGGUGCAAGCGUUACUCGGAAUUACUGGGCGUAAAGCGUGCGUAGGUGGUUCGUUAAGUCUGCCGUGAAAGCCCGGGCUCAACCUGGAAUGGCGGUGGAUACUGGCGGACUAGAGUGCGGUAGAGGGUGGUGGAAUUCCCGGUGUAGCAGUGAAAUGCGUAGAGAUCGGGAGGAACAUCUGUGGCGAAGGCGGCCACCUGGACCAGCACUGACACUGAGGCACGAAAAGCGUGGGGGAGCAAAACAGGAUUAGAAUACCCGUGG